This 253-nucleotide ribosomal RNA is filed under the name uncultured bacterium. RNAcentral describes it as "partial 16S ribosomal RNA". It matches the Rfam family "Bacterial small subunit ribosomal RNA", at positions 524 to 776 of the family's 1533-position model. The record is from RNAcentral.
UACGAAGGGUGCAAACGUUGCUCGGAAUUAUUGGGCGUAAAGCGCACGUAGGCGGCUUGGCAAGUCGGAUGUGAAAUCCCUCGGCUCAACCAAGGAAGUGCAUCCGAAACUGCUGAGCUUGAGUACUUAAGAGGAUCGCGGAAUUCCCGGUGUAGAGGUGAAAUUCGUAGAUAUUCGCAAGAACACCAGUGGCGAAGGCGGCUGACUGGUCCGGAUCUGACGCUGAGGCGCGAAAGCGUGGGGAGCAAACAGG